Molecule: microRNA precursor, 165 nt
Filed under: Oryza brachyantha (malo sina)
Lineage: Eukaryota; Viridiplantae; Streptophyta; Magnoliopsida; Poales; Poaceae
Description: MIR812 microRNA precursor family
Rfam family: MIR812 microRNA precursor family
Source: Rfam by way of RNAcentral
UACAAUGUUUUGACUCUUUAUUUUAUUUGAAAUUUUUUGUGAUUAAUAUAUUUAUUAUUAGUAGAUGAUAAAAUAUGAAUAGUAUUUUAUCCGUGACUAAUUUUUUAAGUUAUUUAACAAAUUUUUCAAAUAAGACGAAUGGUCAAAGCAUUGGGCACAGAAAUC